This 81-nucleotide small RNA is filed under the name Salmonella enterica. RNAcentral describes it as "partial RtT sRNA". It matches the Rfam family "RtT RNA", at positions 1 to 80 of the family's 130-position model. From Rfam's summary of the family: This family represents a bacterial cis-regulatory element known as RtT RNA. The exact function of RtT is unknown although it is thought that it may be involved in changing the cellular response in relation to amino acid starvation. Lineage: Bacteria; Pseudomonadati; Pseudomonadota; Gammaproteobacteria; Enterobacterales; Enterobacteriaceae. RNAcentral also lists the same sequence under 1 other name. The record is from RNAcentral.
UAUCUCUCCGUACGGGGAAGGAUGAGAAGCUUCGACUAAGGUUCGAUUCGAGCGCAGCGAGAAAACGUUGCCGCAGGCAAC